Aethina tumida (small hive beetle) is the source of this 889-nucleotide long non-coding RNA. RefSeq lists it as uncharacterized. The record is from RefSeq and is a predicted model, not a curated record. Lineage: Eukaryota; Metazoa; Arthropoda; Insecta; Coleoptera; Nitidulidae. The transcript has 3 exons.
GUCAAGGCCUUAGACACAUCUUGAUCAUGACGACCACAUCAAACAUUGAAACGAAAAUAGGACAUUAAAGAUUUUAUAUGACUGCCCGCCCGCACAAUUUGCGCCACCUAUAUCGGAUAAACCGUAAUCGAAUCGAAUGUGAAACCAAAUUUCAGGAGAUCUAAACGUGGUUCUCUACUGUCAGCUUAGACCGUUGCCUGUCCGUGUGUGCUCCGCCUAAGCUUUGUUUACUUUAAAGCUUUAUUGGUUCAUCUGACCGACAAUCAGCUGUAAACUGUCAAAUAAAUUGUUCUAGUCCGCAUUGACAAGGCGCGGUAAACCCGGCAUUUGUCAUUGCUAACCAAAGAGAGAUAUGUCUAAUAAGAAACCAUCUCGAUAUGAACGCGCAAAAAGUGAAUGCACUGAAGGACGAUGCACAGUCAACUCUAUAAAAAAGAACUUUUCUGAUAAUUUUUUCAACAGGCUCCGAACUGUACGUAGUAAAAGUGUCGACAGAUUCCGACAACUGUAUGAAAGUUACAAUGGCCAAAAGUGCGAAAAUAUUCGGGAAUUACGCAAAUUAUUGUCAUCAGAUAUUGAGGCUACUACAUUGUUGAACAGUGAAGAAGUAGCAGAUGUUAUUAGGCAAAUUGAGGAAGAAUUGAAAAUAUCCGAAUUGGAGGAAGAAGCUAAGUCCUACCUCGAAUACAAUGAACAGGAAAUAUCAACUAUCGUUAAUCAUCUAAUGAAUAAAUGUACAAUAUGUAAUAAUCUGACAACACAAACUUAUGUUUGUGAAAAUUGUGUUAUGCUUGCAAACGACUAAUUUUGUGAAUAUUAUUUGUGUAUAUAUUAUAACCCUUACAUUUUAAUUAUACAAUACGUUUCUUUAAUUAUAUAUUUUUUAUAA